Molecule: ribosomal RNA, 478 nt
Filed under: uncultured bacterium
Lineage: Bacteria
Description: partial 16S ribosomal RNA
Rfam family: Bacterial small subunit ribosomal RNA
Source: RNAcentral
GACGAACGCUGGCGGCGUGCUUAACACAUGCAAGUCGAACGUGAUUUUUGUGGAAAUUCUUUCGGGAAUGGAAAUGAAAUGAAAGUGGCGAACGGGUGAGUAACACGUGAGCAACCUACCUUACACAGGGGGAUAGCCGUUGGAAACGACGAUUAAUACCGCAUGAGACCACAGAAUCGCAUGAUAUAGGGGUCAAAAAUUUAUCGGUGUAAGAAGGGCUCGCGUCUGAUUAGCUAGUUGGAAGGGUAAAGGCCUACCAAGGCGACGAUCAGUAGCCGGUCUGAGAGGAUGAACGGCCACAUUGGAACUGAGACACGGUCCAAACUCCUACGGGAGGCAGCAGUGGGGAAUAUUGCACAAUGGGGGGAACCCUGAUGCAGCGACGCCGCGUGAGCGAAGAAGGUUUUCGAAUCGUAAAGCUCUGUCCUAUGAGAAGAUAAUGACGGUAUCAUAGGAGGAAGCCCCGGCUAAAUACGUG